AGGGUUUGAUUCUGGCUCAGGAUGAACGCUAGCGGCAGGCUUAACACAUGCAAGUCGAGGGGUAACAUUGUAGCUUGCUACAGAUGACGACCGGCGCACGGGUGCGUAACGCGUAUAGAACCUACCUUUUACAGAGGGAUAGCCUUUAGAAAUGAAGAUUAAUACCUUAUAGUAUUGAGACUUGGCAUCGAGUUUUAAUUAAAGAUUUAUCGGUAAAAGAUGGCUAUGCGUCCUAUUAGUUAGUUGGUAAGGUAACGGCUUACCAAGACUUCGAUAGGUAGGGGCCCUGAGAGGGGGAUCCCCCACACUGGUACUGAGACACGGACCAGACUCCUACGGGAGGCAGCAGUGAGGAAUAUUGGGCAAUGGAGGCAACUCUGACCCAGCCAUGCCGCGUGCAGGAAGACUGCCCUAUGGGUUGUAAACUGCUUUUAUACAGGAAGAAACACUGCUACGUGUAGCAGCUUGACGGUACUGUAAGAAUAAGGACCGGCUAACUCCGUGCCAGCAGCCGCGGUAAUACGGAGGGUCCGAGCGUUAUCCGGAAUCAUUGGGUUUAAAGGGUCCGCAGGCGGUCAAUUAAGUCAGAGGUGAAAUACCAUAGCUCAACUAUGGAACUGCCUUUGAUACUGGUUGACUUGAGUCAUAUGGAAGUAGAUAGAAUGUGUAGUGUAGCGGUGAAAUGCAUAGAUAUUACACAGAAUACCGAUUGCGAAGGCAGUCUACUACGUAUGUACUGACGCUGAGGGACGAAAGCGUGGGGAGCGAACAGGAUUAGAUACCCUGGUAGUCCACGCCGUAAACGAUGGAUACUAGUUGUUGGGCAUUAGCUCAGUGACUAAGCGAAAGUGAUAAGUAUCCCACCUGGGGAGUACGGUCGCAAGACUGAAACUCAAAUGAAUUGACGG
RNAcentral lists this ribosomal RNA (908 nucleotides) under uncultured bacterium. RNAcentral describes it as "bacterial SSU rRNA". It matches the Rfam family "Bacterial small subunit ribosomal RNA", at positions 8 to 916 of the family's 1533-position model. The record is from RNAcentral.